Molecule: ribosomal RNA, 413 nt
Filed under: uncultured bacterium
Lineage: Bacteria
Description: bacterial SSU rRNA
Rfam family: Bacterial small subunit ribosomal RNA
Source: RNAcentral
UGGGAAUAUUGCGCAAUGGGCGAAAGCCUGACGCAGCAACACCGCGUGAGGGAUGACGGCCUUCGGGUUGUAAACCUCUUCAGCUCCGACGAAGCGAAAGUGACGGUAGGAGCAGAAGAAGCACCGGCUAACUACGUGCCAGCAGCCGCGGUAAUACGUAGGGUGCAAGCGUUGUCCGGAAUUAUUGGGCGUAAAGAGCUCGUAGGCGGUCCGUUGCGUCUGCCGUGAAAACCCGGAGCUCAACUCCGGGCCUGCGGUGGAUACGGGCGGACUAGAGUCCGGUAGGGGAGACUGGAAUUCCUGGUGUAGCGGUGGAAUGCGCAGAUAUCAGGAGGAACACCGGUGGCGAAGGCGGGUCUCUGGGCCGGAACUGACGCUGAGGAGCGAAAGCGUGGGGAGCGAACAGGAUUAGA